This 481-nucleotide ribosomal RNA is filed under the name uncultured bacterium. RNAcentral's name for it is "bacterial SSU rRNA". It matches the Rfam family "Bacterial small subunit ribosomal RNA", at positions 8 to 485 of the family's 1533-position model. The record is from RNAcentral.
AGAGUUUGAUCAUGGCUCAGGAUGAACGCUGGCGGCGUGCUUAACACAUGCAAGUCGAACGAAGCACUCUUUUAGAUUUCCUUCGGGGGAGAAGAAAUUGUGACUGAGUGGCGGACGGGUGAGUAACGCGUGGGCAACCUGCCCCAUACAGGGGGAUAACAGCCGGAAACGGCUGCUAAAACCGCAUAAGCGCACAAGGGCCGCAUGGCCUGGUGUGAAAAACUCCGGUGGUAUGGGAUGGGCCCGCGUCUGAUUAGCUAGUUGGCGGGGGAGAGGCCCACCAAGGCGACGAUCAGUAGCCGACCUGAGAGGGUGGCCGGCCACAUUGGGACUGAGACACGGCCCAAACUCCUACGGGAGGCAGCAGUGGGGAGUAUUGCACAAUGGGGGAAACCCUGAUGCAGCGACGCCGCGUGAGCGAAGAAGUAUUUCGGUAUGUAAAGCUCUAUCAGCAAGGAAGAAAAAUGACGGUACCUGAGUA